UCUGAUUGAUCCUGCCAGUAGUCAUAUGCUUGUCUCAAAGAUUAAGCCAUGCAUAUCUCAGUGCAUGCCGAAUUAAGGUGAAACCGCGAAUGGCUCACUAAAUCAGUUAUGGUUCAUUGGAUUGUACCAACAUUUAUUUGGAUAAUUGUGGUAAUUCUAGAGCUAAUACAUGCAAAACAGAGUCCCGACCAGUGAUGGGAGGGACGCUUUUAUUAGAUCAAAACCAAUCGGUGGCGCGCGGUCCCCGUGCGUCCGCCGUUUAUCCUGGUGACUCUGAAUAACUUUGAGCUGAUCGCACGGUCCUCGUACCGGCGACGCAUCUUUCAAAUGUCUGCCUUAUCAACUUUCGAUGGUAGGUUCUGCGCCUACCAUGGUUGUAACGGGUAACGGGGAAUCAGGGUUCGAUUCCGGAGGGGGAGCCUGAGAAACGGCUACCACAUCCAAGGAAGGCAGCAGGCGCGCAAAUUACCCACUCCCGGCACGGGAAGGUAGCGACGAAAAAUAACGAUACGGGACUCAUCCGAGGCCCCGUAAUCGGAAUGAAUACACUUUAAAUUCUUUAACGAGGAUCCAUUGGAGGGCAAGUCUGGUGCCAGCAGCCGCGGUAAUUCCAGCUCCAAUAGCGUAUAUUAAAGUUGUUGCGGUUAAAAAGCUCGUAGUUGAAUCUGUGUCGCACACCGUCGGUUCACCGCUCGCGGUGUCUAACUGGCGUGAUGUGGGACGUCCUACCGGUGGGCUUAGCCUCGCGAGGGGCGGCCCAACUGAUAUCCCGUCGCGGUGCUCUUUACUGAGUGUCGAGUCGGGCCGGUACGUUUACUUUGAACAAAUUAGAGUGCUUAAAGCAGGCUACCUUCGCCUGAAUACUGUGGUCAUGGAAUAAUGGAAUAGGACCUCGGUUCUAUUUUGUUGGCUUUCGGAACCCCGAGGUAAUGAUUAAUAGGGACAGAUGGGGCAUUCGUAUUGCGACGUUAGAGGUGAAAUUCUUGGAUCGUCGCAAGACGGACAGAAGCGAAAGCAUUUGCCAAAAAUGUUUUCAUUAAUCAAGAACGAAAGUUAGAGGUUCGAAGGCGAUCAGAUACCGCCCUAGUUCUAACCAUAAACAAUGCCAGUUAGCGAUCCGCCGAAGUUCCUCCAAUGACUCGGCGGGCAGCUUCCGGGAAACCAAAGCUUUUGGGUUCCGGGGGAAGUAUGGUUGCAAAGCUGAAACUUAAAGGAAUUGACGGAAGGGCACCACCAGGAGUGGAGCCGGCGGCUUAAUUUGACUCAACACGGGAAACCUCACCAGGCCCAGACACCGGAAGGAUUGAUAGAUUGAUAGCUCUUUCUUGAUUCGGUGGGUGGUGGUGCAUGGUCGUUCUUAGUUGGUGGAGCGAUUUGUCUGUUUAAUUCCGAUAACGAACGAGACUCUAGCCUACUAAAUGGGCGUACCUUAUGGUAUCGCGAAGGACCCUGGCCUCGGCUGGC
RNAcentral lists this ribosomal RNA (1464 nucleotides) under Ooceraea biroi (clonal raider ant). RNAcentral's name for it is "SSU rRNA". It matches the Rfam family "Eukaryotic small subunit ribosomal RNA", at positions 1 to 1400 of the family's 1831-position model. The record is from RNAcentral. Lineage: Eukaryota; Metazoa; Arthropoda; Insecta; Hymenoptera; Formicidae.